GUGCUUGCUUCUCCAGCACAUAUAUUAAAACCAAAACAAUUCAGAGAUUAGCAUGGCCCCUGCACAAGGAUGACAUGCAAAUUUGUGAAGGAGUCCACACACAC
Small nuclear RNA from Callithrix jacchus (white-tufted-ear marmoset), 104 nucleotides. The record is from Ensembl. Lineage: Eukaryota; Metazoa; Chordata; Mammalia; Primates; Cebidae.